This 1292-nucleotide small RNA is filed under the name Pan troglodytes (chimpanzee). RNAcentral's name for it is "retained intron". Lineage: Eukaryota; Metazoa; Chordata; Mammalia; Primates; Hominidae. The record is from RNAcentral.
GCGGGGGCUGUGGCUCCGGGACUGCGGAGAACAUAUUGUGAUGUUGGUGCCUCAGAGCUAAAACUAUGAGUGAAUUUCGGAUUCACCAUGAUGUCAAUGAACUGCUUAGCCUGCUGCGUGUCCACGGAGGAGAUGGGGCUGAGGUCUACAUUGACCUGCUUCAAAAGAACAGGACCCCGUACGUCACUACCACUGUCUCUGCUCACAGUGCCAAGGUGAGCACUGCCCUUGGUGUAGCGCUGUGCAGGGUGAGCACUGUUCCUGGGUCAGGGUGGUGCAGGGUGAGCCCACCCCUGGGUCAGGGUGCAGGGUGAGCGCCGUUCCUGGGUCAGGGUGGUACAGGGUGAGCACCAUUCCUGGGUGAGGGUGCAGGGUGAGCCCACCCCUGGGUCAGGGUGCAGGAUGAACACUGUUCCUGGAUCAGGAUGGUGCAGGGUGAACCCACCCCUCGGUCCAUGUGCAGGAUGAGCGUCGUCCCUGGGUCAGGGAGCAGGGUGAGCGCCACCUCUGGUGCAGGGAGCAGGGUGAGCGCCACCUCUGGUGCAGGGUGCAGGGUGAGCGCCACCUCUGGUGCAGGGUGCAGGGUGAGCGCCACCUCUGGUGCAGGGUGCAGGGUGAGCGCCACCUCUGGUGCAGGGUGCAGGGUGAGCGCCACCCCGGGGUCAGGAUGGUGCAGGGUGAGCGCUGCCCCUGGUGCAGGGCUGUGUGCCGUGCAAGAUGCAGGGUGAGUGCCCGUUCCUGGGUGGCCUCAAUGGUACCGGCAACGAUGGCAGACAGCACUUAGUCUGUGUGUGUGUUCAGCUCUGAUUCUCCUGACUCCCCGCAGCAGCUCCUGUGAUUCACCCCACUAUGCAGAUGAGUAAAUGGAGGCCUAUGGAGAAAGCUGGGCCUAGAACCCUCCCUCUUCCCCACUCUGUCCCCUGCAGCCAUGAGGCGGGAGAGUCCUGACAUGUGCAUUCCUGUGGAUAAAAAGGGAGGGACUGGGCCAGGCGCGGUGGCUCACGCCUAUAAUCCCAGCACUUUGGGAGGCUGAGGCAGGUGGAUCACAAGGUCAGGAGAUCAAGACCACCCUGGCUAACACGGUGAAACCCCGUCUCUACUAAAAAUACAAAAAAUUAGCUGGGUAUGGUGGCAGGCACCUGUAAUCCCAGCUACUCGGGAGGCUGAGGCAGGAGAGUGGCGUGAACCCAGGAGGUGGAGCUUGCAGUGAGCCGAGAUAUCGUGCCACUGCAUUCCAGCCUGGGCGGCAGAGUGAGACUCUGUCUCAAAAAAAAAAAAAAAAAAAAAAAAAA